ACAACUGUGCAUAUACGUGGCAUAGUUUGAUCCACAAUAAUACAUAGUGAAGUGCUUCAUGAUUUGAUGGUAUCAGUAGAUUCCUAAACUGAAGAUUGUGUAGCAGUAUAUAUUCAUAGGCCAACAGGCCAGCGGAAUACAUAGUCAAGUAGGACGUCCAUGCCAUCGCCAUUCUCGACAACAGAGAGAGUAACUGCAGAAUGAGCAACACAAUAGAGGAGGAGCAGCUGCAAAUGGCUAACUGUGAUGAGGAGGGACCAGCGGAAAGUACCAUGUCAUCAUCAACAUCCACCACCGUAGCUGCUAUGAGGUCAGCACCGGCAUGGUCAGCUAUCAAACUCAACAAGGAAAUAUUCGGCGGUACGGAAGAGGAACGGCAAGCACCACAUCAACAUCGGCAUCACCAUAUAUAGAACCAUUGGUAGAAUAUUUUCCAUUCGGAUUAUCAGCAAAAUCAUGACGUAUGGUUUAGACCUUGACGGUUCCAUUCCCUUGCAUUUCAAUUGUCAAUCUUGUGUUGUCAACAAUAAUUUGAUUGUACUGAGAUGUCCAUGAUGAUGUCUCUCUUUGCAGGCAUUGAGUUGAUCUAGAUUACUGACAUUGAAAAUGAAAUGGUCAUCGCAUUAGAGAUUGUCACUUCGGGUGAGCUCAUUUCUUCGUUGGUUUCUCCGUACCAUUUAUACUCUGCUAAAAUGGUCUCGACGAUUAUCUCUUAGAGGUUAUGGAAAUCAUGCAGUCAACUCAAACACACUUUUCGGAGUUUUCUUAUGGAUAGACUUAUUAUAAGAGAGACACGCU
Lolium perenne is the source of this 798-nucleotide non-coding RNA. NCBI's taxonomy places the organism in Eukaryota, Viridiplantae, Streptophyta, Magnoliopsida, Poales, Poaceae. The record is from RefSeq and is a predicted model, not a curated record.